Molecule: long non-coding RNA, 374 nt
Filed under: Chinchilla lanigera (long-tailed chinchilla)
Lineage: Eukaryota; Metazoa; Chordata; Mammalia; Rodentia; Chinchillidae
Description: lncRNA (ENSCLAG00000026124.1)
Source: RNAcentral
CUGCGCUGGGUGCACGCGCACACGGGUGUUUGUGUGCUGCUAGGAGCUGCCCCUCUUGCUCCUGGCCCAGCCCCACCCCAGGCUGUCCGGGAGGGGACGGCGCGGAGCGGCCAAGGGCCGCAAGUGCUGAGCCCAGCAGUCUGUCUUGAUACCUGCGGGGAAGUGGCCCCACCCAGGCCCCCACAGGUGCUGAUGGGCAUCGCUGGGCACUUGUGGGCCUGGUCAGAGCUGUAAGUGACUGCCCUAACCCCAGCUCCUUUUCAGGGCCACUGCUGCUGCCUUGUGGCGAUGCCCUGUGAGGGUGACGUCCUGUCUAGCUUUCUGCCACUGUGGCCCCGCUAGGGACUCUGCCCAUGUCACAUGCCCCCACCGUG